RNAcentral lists this transfer RNA (105 nucleotides) under Gammaproteobacteria bacterium HGW-Gammaproteobacteria-9. RNAcentral's name for it is "tRNA-Lys". It matches the Rfam family "tRNA". From Rfam's summary of the family: Transfer RNA (tRNA) molecules are approximately 80 nucleotides in length. Their secondary structure includes four short double-helical elements and three loops (D, anti-codon, and T loops). Lineage: Bacteria; Pseudomonadati; Pseudomonadota; Gammaproteobacteria. The record is from RNAcentral.
GGGUCGUUAGCUCAGUUGGUAGAGCAGUUGGCUUUUAACCAAUGUUGGUAGAGCAGUUGGCUUUUAACCAAUUGGUCGUAGGUUCGAAUCCUACACGACCCACCA